This 523-nucleotide ribosomal RNA is filed under the name uncultured bacterium. RNAcentral's name for it is "bacterial SSU rRNA". It matches the Rfam family "Bacterial small subunit ribosomal RNA", at positions 26 to 518 of the family's 1533-position model. The record is from RNAcentral.
CUAGGACGAACGCUGGCGGCGUGCCUAAUACAUGCAAGUCGAACGGUCUUUCUAUGGAAGCUUGCUUCCGCUGAGAAGAUAGUGGCGAACGGGUGAGUAACACGUGGGUAACCUGCCCAUAAGAGGGGGGAUAACAUCCGGAAACGGGUGCUAAUACCGCAUAGUUUUCUUGAUCGCAUGAUCGGGAAAGAAAAGACGGCCUUUGUGCUGUCGCUUAUGGAUGGACCCGCGGCGUAUUAGUUAGUUGGUGAGGUAACGGCUCACCAAGACGAUGAUACGUAGCCGACCUGAGAGGGUGAUCGGCCACAUUGGGACUGAGACACGGCCCAAACUCCUACGGGAGGCAGCAGUAGGGAAUCUUCCGCAAUGGACGAAAGUCUGACGGAGCAACGCCGCGUGAGUGAAGAAAGGGUUUUCGGAUCGUAAAACUCUGUUGUCAGAGAAGAACAAGUUGGAGAGUAACUGCUCCAGCCUUGACGGUAUCUGACCAGAAAGCCACGGCUAACUACGUGCCAGCCGCAGC